AGUGCAUGUGGUGGAUGCCUUGGCAGUCAGAGGCGAUGAAAGACGUGAUAGCCUGCGAAAAGCUCCGGGGAGGCGGCAAAUAUCCUUUGAUCCGGAGAUGUCUGAAUGGGGGAACCCACCUACUUUAAGGUAGGUAUUGCAACAUGAAUACAUAGUGUUGCAAGGCGAACGAGGGGAAGUGAAACAUCUCAGUACCCUUAGGAAAAGAAAUCAAUUGAGAUUCCCUCAGUAGCGGCGAGCGAACGGGGAUCAGCCCAUUAAGUUAUGUGUGUUUUAGUGGAACGCUCUGGGAAGUGCGAACGUAGAGGGUGAUAUUCCCGUACACGAAAGGGCACACAUAAUGAUGACGAGUAGGGCGAGGCACGUGAAACCUUGUCUGAAUAUGGGGGGACCAUCCUCCAAGGCUAAAUACUCCUGACUGACCGAUAGUGAACCAGUACCGUGAGGGAAAGGCGAAAAGAACCCCUGUGAGGGGAGUGAAAUAGAUCCUGAAACCGCAUGCAUACAAGCAGUGGGAGCACCUUCGUGGUGUGACUGCGUACCUUUUGUAUAAUGGGUCAGCGACUUAUAUUCAGUAGCAAGGUUAACCGUAUAGGGGAGCCGUAGAGAAAUCGAGUCUUAAUAGGGCGUUUAGUUGCUGGGUAUAGACCCGAAACCAGGCGAUCUAUCCAUGAGCAGGUUGAAGGUUGGGUAACACUAACUGGAGGACCGAACCCACUGUCGUUGAAAAGCCAGGGGAUGACUUGUGGAUAGGGGUGAAAGGCUAAUCAAGCCUGGUGAUAGCUGGUUCUCCCCGAAAGCUAUUUAGGUAGCGCCUCGGACGAAUACCAUAGGGGGUAGAGCACUGUUUCGGCUAGGGGGUCAUCCCGACUUACCAAACCGAUGCAAACUCCGAAUACCUAUGAGUACUAUCCGGGAGACAGACUGCGGGUGCUAACGUCCGUAGUCAAGAGGAAAACAAUCCAGACCGCCAGCUAAGGCCCCAAAAUCAUAGUUAAGUGGGAAACGAUGUGGGAAGGCAUAGACAGCUAGGAGGUUGGCUUAGAAGCAGCCACCCUUUAAAGAAAGCGUAAUAGCUCACUAGUCGAGUCGGCCUGCGCGGAAGAUGUAACGGGGCUAAAACUAUGUGCCGAAGCUGCGGAUGUAUACUUUGUAUACGUGGUAGGGGAGCGUUCUGUAAGCCGAUGAAGGUGUGUUGAGAAGCUAUGCUGGAGGUAUCAGAAGUGCGAAUGCUGACGUGAGUAACGACAAAACGGGUGAAAAACCCGUUCGCCGAAAGACCAAGGGUUCCAGUCCAACGUUAAUCGGGGCUGGGUGAGUCGACCCCUAAGGCGAGGCCGAAAGGCGUAGUCGAUGGGAAAAUGGUUAAUAUUCCAUUACUUCUGUGUAAUGCGAUGAGAGGACGGAGAAGGCUAAAUCAGCCUGGCGUUGGUUGUCCAGGUGAAAGGAUGUAGGCAUGUAUCUUAGGCAAAUCCGGGGUACUCUAUGCUGAGAUCUGAUAGCAAGCUGUACUUGUACAGCGAAGUGGUUGAUGCCAUGCUUCCAGGAAAAGUCUCUAAGCUUCAGUUACACAGGAAUCGUACCCGAAACCGACACAGGUGGUCAGGUCGAGUAGACCAAGGCGCUUGAGAGAACUCUGCUGAAGGAACUAGGCAAAAUGGUACCGUAACUUCGGGAGAAGGUACGCUGUUGUUGGUGAUGGAACUCGCUUCCUGAGCUGACGACAGCCGCAGAAACCAGGCCGCUGCAACUGUUUAUUAAAAACAUAGCACUCUGCAAACACGAAAGUGGACGUAUAGGGUGUGAUGCCUGCCCGGUGCUGGAAGGUUAAUUGAUGGGGUUAGCGUAAGCGAAGCUCUUGAUCGAAGCCCCAGUAAACGGCGGCCGUAACUAUAACGGUCCUAAGGUAGCGAAAUUCCUUGUCGGGUAAGUUCCGACCUGCACGAAUGGCAUAAUGAUGGCGGCGCUGUCUCCAGCAGAGGCUCAGUGAAAUCGAAAUCGCUGUGAAGAUGCAGUGUACCCGCGGCUAGACGGAAAGACCCCGUGAACCUUUACUGCAGCUUGACACUGAACUUUGACCUUACUUGUGUAGGAUAGGUGGGAGGCUUUGAAGCUGGAACGCUAGUUCCAGUGGAGCCGUCCUUGAAAUACCACCCUGGUAAUGUUGAGGUUCUAACUCUGUCCCGUGAUCCGGGACGAGGACCGUGUCUGGUGGGUAGUUUGACUGGGGCGGUCUCCUCCUAAAGAGUAACGGAGGAGUACGAAGGUGCGCUCAGCGUGGUCGGAAAUCACGCGUAGAGUAUAAAGGCAAAAGCGCGCUUAACUGCGAGACCCACAAGUCGAGCAGGUACGAAAGUAGGUCUUAGUGAUCCGGUGGUUCUGUAUGGAAGGGCCAUCGCUCAACGGAUAAAAGGUACUCUGGGGAUAACAGGCUGAUACCGCCCAAGAGUUCAUAUCGACGGCGGUGUUUGGCACCUCGAUGUCGGCUCAUCUCAUCCUGGGGCUGAAGCAGGUCCCAAGGGUAUGGCUGUUCGCCAUUUAAAGAGGUACGCGAGCUGGGUUUAGAACGUCGUGAGACAGUUCGGUCCCUAUCUACCGUGGGCGCUGGAAAUUUGAGAGGAUCUGCUCCUAGUACGAGAGGACCAGAGUGGACGAACCUCUGGUGUACCGGUUGUGACGCCAGUCGCAUCGCCGGGUAGCUAUGUUCGGAAGGGAUAACCGCUGAAAGCAUCUAAGCGGGAAGCCUACCUCAAGAUAAGAUUUCCCUAGGACUUUAUGUCCUCUAAAGAGCCGUUCGAGACUAGGACGUUGAUAGGUUGGAUGUGGAAGCAUAGUGAUAUGUGAAGCUGACCAAUACUAAUUGCUCGUGAGGCUUGACU
Molecule: ribosomal RNA, 2879 nt
Filed under: Acinetobacter baumannii
Lineage: Bacteria; Pseudomonadati; Pseudomonadota; Gammaproteobacteria; Moraxellales; Moraxellaceae
Description: bacterial LSU rRNA
Rfam family: Bacterial large subunit ribosomal RNA
Source: RNAcentral